RNAcentral lists this long non-coding RNA (769 nucleotides) under Anas platyrhynchos platyrhynchos (common mallard). Its description in RNAcentral is "lncRNA (ENSAPLG00000028290.1)". Lineage: Eukaryota; Metazoa; Chordata; Aves; Anseriformes; Anatidae. The record is from RNAcentral.
GGGGGAUGAGACAUGCGCCCUUCGGUUCUGCUGGAGGCUCUAUAGCAGAGAAUAUCCCAUGCAUUACAUUAUUUUCUACCCAAUCUCUCUCUAUUCUGUUCUUUUCCCUCUAAUUUAUGCUCUGCUUUCCCACCCUUGUUGUCAUGACAAUGUCUUUCACUAUUUGCAGUAUUCCUGUCCAGUUUCCAGAUUCCCUUUCCAAAUGCAACCGUUCUUUUUUUCCAUUUUGCUUGGCCACCUUGAAUGUCCUGUUAACAGAAGUAAGAGGACUCUUACUUCUUUUUUUCCUCCUGACCUGUGCUCAUCACAAAUGGCCUACAUUUACAGCCUUCUUCAAAAUCUCUGUGCUCAAGGGUCUGACUUCUUAUUCAGAAACACCCUCCUGGGAGCAACGCAGCAUCCUGGCUCUUCACAGUACAUCUGCAGUCGGGAACAGGCUGUCCGUGAAGGGCCGGGGAAACAAAUGCGGUUCCUGUGUUGUUCACCAGGGGAAGGGGAACAGCCCAAACCGCGGUGUGUAUGAGCUCUGGGUGAGCACAGCUAGCCACACAGGACCAUGAGCAAAUCACAUCGUCUUGACGGCUUCCAGGAACCAGCUGGGCCAUCUCCUGCCAGUGUCCCAUGGGCUCCCUUAACCUGGAGACACCCACAACGAGUGGAGCAGAAGCAGGCUGUCAGGAGCAGAUUGCAGACCUUGCCGGUCUUUGGCCUCCUUUUCCAUUCAGACAAAUUUUAAAUGUUAAAUAAAUACUGAAGGAAUCACUUGUCA